AUUGAACGCUGGCGGCAUGCUUUACACAUGCAAGUCGAACGGUAACAGGCCGCAAGGUGCUGACGAGUGGCGCACGGGUGAGUAAUGCAUCGGAACGUGCCCAGUCGUGGGGGAUAACUACUCGAAAGAGUAGCUAAUACCGCAUACGAGCUAUGGAUGAAAGCGGGGGACCGUAAGGCCUCGCGCGAUUGGAGCGGCCGAUGUCAGAUUAGGUAGUUGGUGGGGUAAAGGCUCACCAAGCCAACGAUCUGUAGCUGGUCUGAGAGGACAACCAGCCACACUGGAACUGAGACACGGCCCGGACUCCUACGGGAGGCAGCAGUGGGGAAUUUUGGACAAUGGGCGCAAGCCUGAUCCAGCAAUGCCGCGUGCAGGAAGAAGGCCUUCGGGUUGUAAACUGCUUUUGUACGGAACGAAACGGCGCUGGUUAAUACCCGGGGCUAAUGACGGUACCGUAAGAAUAAGCACCGGCUAACUACGUG
Molecule: ribosomal RNA, 482 nt
Filed under: uncultured bacterium
Lineage: Bacteria
Description: partial 16S ribosomal RNA
Rfam family: Bacterial small subunit ribosomal RNA
Source: RNAcentral